ACCAGCACACACCUCUCUUAUUUCAUUCUUCCUGGUCGGCUAAGACAAGAACAAAGAGAAAAAAGAAGAGAACAAACCCUAGUGAGCAAAAAUUCAAGGGAAAAUUGGUGAAUUUCAAGGAAUUAAGCAAGUAAAGGUGGUGAAUCCUCCGAAAAAGGGUAAAAAAAUUGCACCCGAGGAUCAAUAGUCAGAGUACUCCAAAAUCCGAACUCUUGACAUACUUGCUGCAGUGGGCGGGUUUUAUGGACCAGCCUAUUAGAGGGGCAUAGAAUCUGGUUAUAUUCGUACCUCGAUCGAAGAGGCGCGUAGGGUAUCUCCUGAGGUAUGGUUAGAGUUCACGUCACGCCGAACCACCUCAUGAUGAUGAACU
This is a non-coding RNA of Theobroma cacao (cacao), 370 nucleotides long. The record is from RefSeq and is a predicted model, not a curated record. NCBI's taxonomy places the organism in Eukaryota, Viridiplantae, Streptophyta, Magnoliopsida, Malvales, Malvaceae.